CUGACAUCAUCAAUGCGUCCAUGUUUUCCCGAGGUACGCACUUUCCUCAGCCUUCGCGGCACCGCGGCGCAAAACUAAAAGUGCCACAUGCUUGCUUGGAAUAAAACGGUUUUCUAAUCAGCGCUGGUGACAAGAAUGGCGUGGUCGAAACCAACAGCCCUAGGCAUCUUCCGCGGAUCCAUGUGGACGAUGCACGCACCCACCACAGCGAGCGGAGCGUGGUAGCUGAGUGUGGAGCCAAACGGAUUUAUUCGCCCCGCAAAGCUCAAGAAUGAGAAAUAAAGAAAACGAGCGAUAUUCACGAGCCGCGGGGGCCUGGCGUGAAGGCAUUUUUCAUCUUUCGCCAGAAGUUAUACACGCGAGGAGAGUAGUGCACUAGCCUGGAACCGGCGCAAAGGAGGUGGCUACACGAGUGGUGGCAAGUCGGACAGAGAGCAAUGCGAGAGUUUCGGGACACGUGGUCCACCAACCUGCCAGGGCACGCC
This is a non-coding RNA of Dermacentor albipictus, 485 nucleotides long. The record is from RefSeq and is a predicted model, not a curated record. NCBI's taxonomy places the organism in Eukaryota, Metazoa, Arthropoda, Arachnida, Ixodida, Ixodidae.